CCUACGGGCGGCAGCAGUGGGGAAUAUUGCACAAUGGGGGAAACCCUGAUGCAGCAACGCCGCGUGAAGUCCUCCUUUUUUCUUCUUUUCCCCUUCUUUUCUUCUUUCCUCCUCCUCCCUGUAGCUCAGGAGCAAGCCACGGCUAACUACGUGCCAGCAGCCGCGGUAAUACGUAGGUGGCCCGCGUGGUCAGUAAUUACUUGGUGUAACUGGAGCGCAGGCGGGAAGCCAAGUCAGCUGUGAAAAAUACGGGCGGAACUUGGAGAAGGAAGGUGAAACGGGUUUUCUUGAGUGAAGUAGAGGUUGGCGGAAUUCAGAGGGUAGAGGUGAAAGGCGUAGAGAUGAGGAGGAAAAACGGUGGCGAAGGCGGCCAACUGGGAUUUAAAGGACGCUGAGGCGCGAAAGUGGGGGGAGAAAAAAGGAGGAGAGAAAAAGGGAGGC
Molecule: ribosomal RNA, 441 nt
Filed under: uncultured bacterium
Lineage: Bacteria
Description: partial 16S ribosomal RNA
Rfam family: Bacterial small subunit ribosomal RNA
Source: RNAcentral